RNAcentral lists this transfer RNA (76 nucleotides) under Gemmatimonadota bacterium. RNAcentral describes it as "Gemmatimonadetes bacterium tRNA-Trp". It matches the Rfam family "tRNA". From Rfam's summary of the family: Transfer RNA (tRNA) molecules are approximately 80 nucleotides in length. The record is from RNAcentral. Lineage: Bacteria; Pseudomonadati; Gemmatimonadota.
AGGGCAGUAGCUCAACUGGUAGAGCACCGGUCUCCAAAACCGGCGGUUGCGGGUUCGAUUCCUGCCUGCCCUGCCA